RNAcentral lists this transfer RNA (85 nucleotides) under Felis catus (domestic cat). It matches the Rfam family "tRNA". From Rfam's summary of the family: Transfer RNA (tRNA) molecules are approximately 80 nucleotides in length. Lineage: Eukaryota; Metazoa; Chordata; Mammalia; Carnivora; Felidae. The record is from Rfam by way of RNAcentral.
GCCUGGGUGGCUCAGUCAGUGGAGCAUCCAACUUUGGCUCGGGUCGUGAUCUCCCGGUCCGUGGGUUCGAGCCCCACGUCAGGCU